Molecule: ribosomal RNA, 247 nt
Filed under: uncultured Smithella sp.
Lineage: Bacteria; Pseudomonadati; Thermodesulfobacteriota; Syntrophia; Syntrophales; Smithellaceae
Description: partial 16S ribosomal RNA
Rfam family: Bacterial small subunit ribosomal RNA
Source: RNAcentral
CUUUAAAGAGACUGCCGGUGUUAAACCGGAGGAAGGUGGGGAUGACGUCAAGUCCUCAUGGCCUUUAUGCUUAGGGCUACACACGUGCUACAAUGGGUGGUACAAAGAGAAGCCAACUCGCGAGAGCGCGCCAAUCUCAAAAAGCCAUCCUCAGUUCGGAUUGGAGUCUGCAACUCGACUCCAUGAAGUUGGAAUCGCUAGUAAUCGCGGAUCAGCAUGCCCGCGGUCCGAAUACGUUCCGGGCCUU